Molecule: long non-coding RNA, 3305 nt
Filed under: Homo sapiens (human)
Lineage: Eukaryota; Metazoa; Chordata; Mammalia; Primates; Hominidae
Description: HSALNT0055388
Source: RNAcentral
CUUUCUCAUGCUGUUCUCACGAUAGUGAAUAAGUCUCACAAGAUCUGAAGGUUAUAUAAAGAGAAGUUCCCUACACCACUUCUGUCUUUGCCUGCUGCCAUCCACGUGAUAUGUGACUUGCUGCUCCUUGCCUUCUGCCAUAAUUGUGAGGCCUCCUCAGCCACACGGAAAUGCUUAUAGGCAUAAGAGACUUGCCUUGUCUCAGAUGAAACUUUGGACUGUGGACUUUUGAGUUAAUGCUGAUAUUAGGACUCUGCUUACCCUUUGUGAAUAAGCCCAGUGAAUCUGCUGAGUGAUGAGAGAGAGAGUGGGCCAGUCACUUCAUUGCUCCAGGAUUUUCUGUUGAAUGACACUUCAUAAAAAAGACUUUGAUUGCUGAGUUACAAAGACAAUUGUAUCUUCUUGUAAAGCAUACAGUCUUGGUGGUCCUACCCCAUGAACUGGCUGUCCCAGGACGGUUUUACGGUGGUUAUGUUGAAGAUGUAAAUAUUCUCCCUGCUGUGAGUAUUACUGCAGCUGCCCAAAGAUGCUUUAUUUUAAAGAUGUGGAUACAGGAAGAUAAAAGCAUCAGAAACACUGCAUGGGAAAAUCAUUCAGACUGCAGCUUCCUGGUUUUAGACAUCCCCACUGGCAAUUGGGACAUCUAUUUUGGAGAUGUAAUUGAAAAGACUGAAGAAUGUACUGAGGACCUUCUGGCUGAUAGAAGCUGACAAAGAAGCCAAGAUUGGUGAAGAUUUCUGCAAUACCUGAGUUUCUAAUCACAACAACAAAAAUGACCUGGAUAGAAAACCUUGGAGAUAGUAAUUGAUGGGCAUCACGUAGCUGGUUGCUGGAGAAACACUGAAGCAGAACUUGUAAUAUCUUCAAAACAAGUGAAGGCCAGGAAUCAGAAAUGCUUCUGAAGGUCAGCUGCCUCUCCAGCCAUCUAUGAAGAGCUAUGGUUCUGAAUCCUGGCUAAUAUCAGAAUCAUCCUGGGAGCUUUUGAAAAUCCUGAUGCUCAAGUCACACUCCAUACUCAGACAAGAAGCUGAGUCUCAGAGAGAGAAAAUGACUCAUCCAAGCAAGGUUUGAGACCUAAGAAAGAAUCAACCUGAAUCAAAUAUAACUAUAGGAGGUGCCUUUUGGACAAUACAGAGGCCAUGCUCAAGGAACACAAAAGGAACUGAAGUUGUGUGGAUUACAAGAGAGUUCGAUGUGUUCUAAAUUCAUUAUGUAGGUAAUGAAUGGGAUCUCGUGAAAAGUGGAACUAAGCCUCUUUGGUAAAGCCUGAAGAGUGGAGUCAAAAGCAAUGAGUAGAAAUCAUUUUACCCAUGCCAUCCACCUACCUAUCUACCCAUACAGACACCCAACAAAUUGUAAAAGAAAAGUAGGCAAUCAGGAUAAUCAGUAGUUUAAUAUGAUUUGGGGGUUCAUUAAAGGCUUUCCUUUAGAAAUCACAUUUAAACUGAGACCUGAAGGAUGGCUUCUGUCGUUAGCCAGAUGAAAAGAGAAGAUAAGCAUUCCAAGCAGAGGGAACAGGAAAGGUGGAAACAAACUGGGCAUAUUCCAGGACGUGGAAGGAAGCAGUAGGUAGCUUAAGUAGCAUGAAGAACACUUACAGAAGAGUUUAGAAUGAAGCAGGAGCCAGACCAUGGAGGUAGGACAUGCUAGAGCAAAUCAAUUUUAGCUGAGUGUGAAUAAUACAGUUCUAUCAUACGGAUCUGCCCUAAAAUGGAUUUGGUUUCUGAUGACCAAGGUUGUGUAAGCAGAAGCUGGAAGACCCUUGAAAAGAGCAUUCAUUCAAGAAAUGAAGCAUGAGAUAGGAUGGAAGGAGGGAAGAAAGACAAGCAUAUGGCAUAUCAGGUCUCUUCCAGUGCUAAAGGCUGCCUAUGAUACUCAUCUGACCUGAUUUCUCCUGCACAGUGUUGCAACUGACGAGUAGCAGACUUGCCCUUGCCUGCAUUUGGGGGGAUGGCUGAGACUUUCCUUACAGAAAGCCCUACUUUCAGCAUGAACACUAACCCAGUUUAUUGGCUCAGGGUGUAGAGAGUUGCCUUGUCACUGGCGAAGUCAGAUGCAGCCAGUACCAGAGCUCUGCACUAGCUGUGAACACUAAGGAAGAAUAGCUGAGUGAGGAAGCAGAGUGCCAGGCAGCACAUCCUUCUUCAGGUGUUUCCUGCCCUGGGCCAGAUCCCAGGCACUGCAGCAAUAUCUCUGCAUGAUCUAGGGCUCCUGGAAAUAGCCCAUUAAGGGCAAAACUCGCUGCCCAGAAAACAUUAGAACAUUAAAAGAGCAGGGUCUCAUCUGAUUGUCUUGGUUUCCUGAGGCUCAUUCAGUCUGUGUCCACUGGUUUCAGUCUGAGUUCUCUGCACUUUGAGGAUGCAGACAGUGAAGUUCUCCCAUGGUUAUAGGGGGAGAGAUCAUAGGAAUGCUAUGGAAAGAGGCCUGAAGUCAGAGCCAGCUAGUGGUUAUUAUUUAUUAAUUGCCUGUGAGGUGCCAGGCGCACAUAUUAGACCAUAUGUGAUUGCAGUGAGCCACCCGGAUCCCCUUCAAGCUGCUGCUGCAGCUGAUGGAAGUCCUAUUGGCAGACAGCCUUCUCUCAUCAGCCCCUUCAGGACUUGCCUCAGUUGCAGAGAGCUGCCUUCCCCAAGAUCACACCCUUCCCUGGGGACUCACAACCAAUGGCUGAUCCAGAAGAAUCCAUAAAGCCCGUAUCAUUUCAGCCCAAUUUAGGACAGCUUUGUUGAGCCAUUAGACCUACAUGCAGCCCAACCUCUCCUUCUACCCACUUCUUCUUUCUUCCCUUUCCUUCCACGGUGUCUGUUCCAAGCACUUGCCUUAAUAAACAUGUAACAGGUUAAACUCUGUCUCGAUGUCUGCUUCAAGGAGAACCCAACCUGUGACAGUGAUAACAGAUAAAAACAAAGGACAUCACUUUUCCCUGCCUUACUUUCCAUUUACCACUAAAAAGGGUCUUGGACUUGCCCACUCAGUUUCUUCUCUUUCUUCACUCUUUGGAGAUGGUCCCUCCACUACCACAGACACAAAAAAGAAGAGUUGGGAAGAGAGAGGGGUGAAAACAUUUGGGGCACUGCAGGCCUAGUGCUAGGUGACUGAAGACUACCUGGAGGGUGCAGGAAGUGACUGUUUCUCCAUCAUGUAUUGUAUUGCUAUAGUGACUUAAAAAACAAGUAGGUGAUUUGUGUUUUUUUGGUUUUUUUUUGUUUUUUUGGUUUUUUUUUUGAGACAGAGUCUCGCUCUGUCACCCAGGCUGGAGUGCAGUGGCGCUAUCUUGGCUCACUGCAAGCUCCACCUCCUGGGUUCAC